AAAUAUUUAUCAAAUUGUAGUCUCGACCAGUUAGACCUGGGGAUUUUAUAUUCUCCUUUUACUUAAAGGGGAGUUUCUAAAGUAUAUACUACAAUUUCAGAAAACAUGACACAGACGGACAAGAGAAAGCCUUUCUAAAAUGAAUCUAAUAACAAAAUUUAAAUGACUUGGAAAGUAUACAAAAUUCGAAACACAUUUGAUGUUUACAGAUGAUUCGAACUUUGAGUCUUCAUUUAAAUUUAUUCAAUAUUUUCUCACUUUAUAUCAAUCGUCGUAGACUAUUUAUAUGUUGGGAUUAUUCAUCUGGUUUCUUUGAUAAUUUGUAGUUGUCUAACAGAAUUUUAAUUGAAUUCUUACAUCUUCCACAUGGUGUGUGGGAGUGUUAAUUUUUUCAAAUAAAAAUUUGCCAAAACAAGCAGCGGAUAAUGUUACGUUGUUUGUUUUGGCAUUUUUAGGCCUGAUGAAAUUCAAAUUGGCUCAGACAUGAUGAUUUAUUUCUUUCGUUUAUUUUAAAAUAAAUCAAACUGGAAAGUACUGUACAAAGAAAACAAAAUACUACAGACACUUAUAUUUAUAUGUAUAUACAGUAAAUCAGAUCAUGAAUAAGAUAUAUUGAAAAGUAUGUGCAAGAAAAUGUUUUUCGUGAUCCAAAAAAAAAAAACAUUUUCACGAGUAAGGAAACUUCAAACGCGUAUGAUGUACAUGCAAUACAUAAAUCGAUUGGAUUUCUAUUUGGAAUUCUAGGAUAAUGAAUUACUUUGGUCAGCAGUCAAAAGAAUUGCGAGAAUGCCCGACAUAAUCUACGAAGAAAAUAAAGGAUGCUAUGUUUAAUAUUUAAUAUGGGGUGCAAAGCUAGUUCGCCUCCUCGUGGUGCACCCUGGGUAACGCUAAAGAACUAGCACUAAGACUUCAAACAGGUUUGGAUGCCAAAGGAAAACUGAUUAAAUAAA
RNAcentral lists this long non-coding RNA (950 nucleotides) under Agrilus planipennis (emerald ash borer). RNAcentral's name for it is "uncharacterized LOC108743542". The record is from RNAcentral. Lineage: Eukaryota; Metazoa; Arthropoda; Insecta; Coleoptera; Buprestidae.